CCACAAAAAAAGACUAACUCUCGAAUGUACUUUGAGCUUUCAAAUCCAUUCACUAUUCAGAUGCCUAGUCGACUUCUGAUGAUGAAAUCGGUAGAGAUCAGCCAUCAUAGGCCUCGGCAUAUAGGAUGAUCUCCAGAUCCUAACAUCCAAACCAUAGUGAAAAGGGGUUGCCAGCCUUAGUACUCGCCAUCCAAUUUAUUCUCAAACUAAUCACCGCAUUAGAGUUCCAACCUUGGCCGUCGAUGUGGAAAAGAUCCCAAAUCCUCAUAGUCUCGGUCACCUAUGUACUAAUAUAUGUUAGCCAAUGAACCAAAGGGAUGUUGGUUAUCCAUGCUUCUCACAGAAUGACCAUCACCCACUAAUUAUCUAGUCUAAGAGAUCACAUUGGGGGCAUUCGCACAGAUC
This 405-nucleotide long non-coding RNA is filed under the name Elaeis guineensis (African oil palm). RNAcentral describes it as "long non-coding RNA (EGUI_LNC070616)". Lineage: Eukaryota; Viridiplantae; Streptophyta; Magnoliopsida; Arecales; Arecaceae. The record is from RNAcentral.